Molecule: ribosomal RNA, 252 nt
Filed under: uncultured bacterium
Lineage: Bacteria
Description: partial 16S ribosomal RNA
Rfam family: Bacterial small subunit ribosomal RNA
Source: RNAcentral
UACGUAGGGGGCGAGCGUUAUCCGGAUUUAUUGGGCGUAAAGCGUGUGUAGGCGGUUUGUUAAGUCUGAAAUAAAAGCCCGAGGCUCAACUUCGGUUCGUUUCAGAAACUGGCAGACUUGAGUGUGGUAGAGGCAAGUGGAAUUUCUAGUGUAGCGGUAAAAUGCGUAGAUAUUAGAAGGAACACCAGUGGCGAAGGCGACUUGCUGGGCCAUUACUGACGCUGAGACACGAAAGCGUGGGGAGCAAAUAGG